Non-coding RNA from Pelobates cultripes (western spadefoot toad), 207 nucleotides. NCBI's taxonomy places the organism in Eukaryota, Metazoa, Chordata, Amphibia, Anura, Pelobatidae. The record is from the annotation of a GenBank genome assembly.
GUGCCGAGAGGAAGUGAUCUGAGAUCACUUCCUCUAUGUGCUGCAAUGCAUAAAUUGAGGAUUGUCCUUCACCACCUCUUCGUAUUAGCAGAUAUCUGAAGUUUUACUGGGUCUCCUGAUAGCCAGAGCCUGUUUGGCUCUAGCAGCCUUGAGUGCCGUGCAAAGACACCUUGAGUGCCGUGCAUGGCACUAGUGCCGUAGGUUGCC